GGGUUGGUGGUAGCGGCUUGGGGAGGUGCUCGCUCUGUCGGUCUCGCUCUCUCGCACGCUUCCCCCGGCUCCCUUCGUUCCCCCACCCCCCCGGUCGCCUGCGUGCCAGAGUGUGUGCGAGGGAGGGGGAGGGCGUCGGGGGGGGUGGGGGGAGGCGUUCCGGUCCCCGAGAGACCCGCGGAGGGAGGCGGAGGCUGUGAGGGACUCCGGGAAGCCAUGGACGUCGAGAGGCUCCAGGAGGCGCUGAAAGAUUUUGAGAAGAGGGGGAAAAAGGAAGUUUGUCCUGUCCUGGAUCAGUUUCUUUGUCAUGUAGCCAAGACUGGAGAAACAAUGAUUCAGUGGUCCCAAUUUAAAGGCUAUUUUAUUUUCAAACUGGAGAAAGUGAUGGAUGAUUUCAGAACUUCAGCUCCUGAGCCAGAGGUCCUCCCAACCCUAAUGUCGAAUAUAUUCCCUUUGAUGAAAUGAAGGAAAGAAUACUGAAAAUUGUCACUGGAUUUAAUGGUAUCCCUUUUACUAUUCAGCGACUAUGUGAAUUGUUAACGGAUCCAAGGAGAAACUAUACAGGAACAGACAAAUUUCUCAGAGGAGUAGAAAAGAAUGUGAUGGUUGUUAGCUGUGUUUAUCCUUCUUCAGAGUCUAAUAUAAAUGGGCCUGGGACACCUAGGCCACUUAAUCGACCAAAGGUUUCUUUGUCAGCCCCCAUGACAACAAAUGGGUUGCCUGAGAGCACAGACAGCAAAGAGACAAAUUUGCAGCAAAAUGAAGAGAAAAAUCACAGAGUCUUUUAUGACAUCAAGAGAAAUGAUCCCAGAAAGAAAAAAUCAAGAAAAAGAAUCUGAUGAUGCCUUAACUGUGAAUGAAGAGACUUCUGAGGAAAAUAAUCAAAUGGAGGAAUCUGAUGUGUCUCAAGCUGAGAAAGAUUUACUACAUUCUGAAGGUGGUGAAAACGAAGGCCCUGUAAGUAGUGGUUCUUCUGACUGCCGUAAAACAGAAGAAUUAGUAGGAUCCAAUUCCAGUAAAACUGGAGAGAUUCUUUCAGAAUCAUCCAUGGAAAAUGAUGAUGAAGCCACAGAAGUCACCGAUGAACCAAUGGAACAAGACUAACUAUUUAGAAACAUUUAGAUGCAGUAUUUUACAUACAGUUUUGGUUUUAACACUGUAUAAAACUUUUAUGUAAUAAAGUGGACCUUUAGUUUUACAAGAGAAGCAGGUUGUAAAAUAAAGUACUUUAUGGAUAAUUCCUGAAAGAGUUGUACAUGUAAGAACUGUGAAUAUCAGCUCCUCUGGGUCCUGCUUACCUUACCGCUGACUUUUCUUUCUUUCUUUUUUUCUUUCUUUUUUUUGGUCUGGGCAAAUCAGUGGUUUGUGUAUAGAUUUUUUUUUUUUAAUUUAGGAUUAAAGUUUUUAAACUGGAAGGUAAUUAUAAUUUUGAAAAGUUUUUUGAGAUUAUCACUUUUAGUUAUACAUAUGCAAGAAGCUUUUUGUCUUGUCUCUUUCUGAUAGCUCUAGCAGUUUUCAUAUUUUGGUCAUAGUUUCAACAUUUUAACAUGUGAAUUAUAGGGUUUCAUGCUGGUUUCCAGAUUUUAUUGUUUGGCUAUGUACUAUGGAACUUUAAGUCAUAUAUACAUACAUAUAUAUAUAUUAUUCUAAGGGGGGAAAUGUUAUAUUUUUCUGUUUCUAUAAGAGAUGAAUACAGUGGAUACUUUUUCUAUUGGUAAUGAUUGAGUUCACCUCUUUCAGAAGACAUUUUCUUUCUCUUCUGAGUAACUGAAAUAAAAUCUGGCCCUUGUGAAACCCUGGAAAUCUUAAGUCUGUUGAAAUACCAGGUUAAACACAUUCCAAGAGAUCUGUUCAAACUCAAAUUCUUUUGUAUACUUCUGAGGUGCCUGAGAAAAAGACUUCAUUAUUUAUGAGAAAAUAUGCUUUAUCUUGGAAAUUGUGUUCAAAUGUUAGCUUACUAUUUUGUAGAAUGAAUGUUUAUGAAGCUGAUAUGAGACCAUCUCAGAAGAACCAAGCAGGUUCCUUGACCUUUUGCUUGCUUUUCUGAACAUUGUGAAUAUUACACGUGUCUUUCUAAAUUAUUCUAGAGUAUGCAAAUGUCAAUGGUAUGAAACACCACUGUACUGGAAGAAUUAAUAUAUUACUUUAGUAUGUACCUGAGCUAAAUGACUGAAGCUUUAGGGGUGCAUAGAAACCACCAUAAUUUGUAUGACAUUUUGGAGUGAAUUACAUAUUUUUGAACAUGCUUCUUCGACAGCCAGUGUUAUAUUUUUCAGAUCAACACAAAGCACAAUGAUUACUCUAAAUUCAAUAUUUUCAAAUUUACAUAUUUAAAGUCAUGCAAACUGCAACUUCCCUGUCAAAAUUACUGGCUGCCAAAUUUAUACCUGUUUCUUCAACUGUACCUUUUGAUAUUUAGAGUUUUUAAAUUUCUGUAAAGUAGAUUUUGUAGAAUGUAAUGUGUUCACUGCCUUUGUGAAGCGGUAUAUAAUUGUAUAAUUUCUGUGUGUAAACUGAAUGCUUGGGCUUUCAAUACAGUAUUCAUAUAAAGCAAUAAAUAUUAAUGUUAUGAAAAAAAAAA
This is a non-coding RNA of Macaca mulatta (Rhesus monkey), 2581 nucleotides long. NCBI's taxonomy places the organism in Eukaryota, Metazoa, Chordata, Mammalia, Primates, Cercopithecidae. The record is from RefSeq and is a predicted model, not a curated record.